UACGAAGGGGGCUAGCGUUGUUCGGAAUUACUGGGCGUAAAGCGCACGUAGGCGGGUCGUUAAGUCAGGGGGGAAAUCCCGGAGCUCAACUCCGGAACUGCCUUUGAUACUGGCGAUCUAGAGAUCGAGAGAGGUGAGUGGAAUUCCGAGUGUAGAGGUGAAAUUCGUAGAUAUUCGGAAGAACACCAGUGGCGAAGGCGGCUCACUGGCUCGAUACUGACGCUGAGGUGCGAAAGCGUGGGGAGCAAACAGG
This 253-nucleotide ribosomal RNA is filed under the name uncultured bacterium. Its description in RNAcentral is "partial 16S ribosomal RNA". It matches the Rfam family "Bacterial small subunit ribosomal RNA", at positions 524 to 776 of the family's 1533-position model. The record is from RNAcentral.